UACGGAGGAUGCGAGCGUUAUCCGGAUUUAUUGGGUUUAAAGGGUGCGUAGGCGGCUUUUUAAGUCAGCGGUGAAAUUUUGCAGCUUAACUGUAACAGUGCCGUUGAUACUGGGGAGCUAGGAUUUGGUUGCUGUGGGUGGAAUGUGUGGUGUAGCGGUGAGAUGCUUAGAUAUCACACAGAAUAUCGAUUGCGAAGGCAGCUCACAAAGCCAAGAUUGACGCUGAGGCACGAAAGUGUGGGGAUCAAACAGGA
Molecule: ribosomal RNA, 254 nt
Filed under: uncultured prokaryote
Description: partial 16S ribosomal RNA
Rfam family: Bacterial small subunit ribosomal RNA
Source: RNAcentral